GACGAACGCUGGCGGCGUGCCUAAUACAUGCAAGUCGAACGCUGAAGGAGGAGCUUGCUUCUCUGGAUGAGUUGCGAACGGGUGAGUAACGCGUAGGUAACCUGCCUGGUAGCGGGGGAUAACUAUUGGAAACGAUAGCUAAUACCGCAUAAUAGUAGAUGUCGCAUGACAUUUGCUUAAAAGGUGCAAUUGCAUCACUACCAGAUGGACCUGCGUUGUAUUAGCUAGUUGGUGAGGUAACGGCUCACCAAGGCAACGAUACAGAGCCGACCUGAGAGGGUGAUCGGCCACACUGGGACUGAGACACGGCCCAGACUCCUACGGGAGGCAGCAGUAGGGAAUCUUCGGCAAUGGACAGAAGUCUGACCGAGCAACGCCGCGUGAGUGAAGAAGGUUUUCGGAUCGUAAAGCUCUGUUGUAAGAGAAGAACGAGUGUGAGAGUGGAAAGUUCACACUGUGACGGUAUCUUACCAGAAAGGGACGGCUAACUACGUG
Molecule: ribosomal RNA, 495 nt
Filed under: uncultured bacterium
Lineage: Bacteria
Description: partial 16S ribosomal RNA
Rfam family: Bacterial small subunit ribosomal RNA
Source: RNAcentral